CACAGUCACACUCACCAACAUUGUUCCCAGAACCAGGAAGGACUUCCUACAAUAUUCCCGUCAGCUCACUCUGGAUCUGAACACAGUGAAUAAACGACUCCGUCUGUCUGAGAACAACAGAGUGAUUACAUUCACUGACACAGAUCAGUCGUAUCCUGAUCAUCCAGACAGAUUUGAUGUGUGGUGUCAGGUGUUGUGUAGAGAGAGUGUGUGUGGACGCUGUUACUGGGAGCUGGAGUGGAGUGGAGAUAGAGAUGUGUUUAUAUCAGUGUCAUAUAAGAACAUCAGCAGGAAGGGACCGGGUAGUGAGUGUUUGUUUGGAUAUAAUGAUCAGUCCUGGAAUUUGAUCUGCUCUCCUGACAGAUACUCAUUCUUACACAAUAACAUAGAGACUGAUCUCUCUGUGAAGUCCGUCAGCAGUAGAAUAGGAGUGUUUGUGGAUCACAGUGCAGGAACUCUGUCCUUCUACAGCGUCUCUGACACAAUGAGCCUCAUCCACACAGUCCAGACCACAUUCACUCAGACGCUCUAUCCUGGGUUUUGGGUUUAUGAAGGAUCAUCAAUGAAACUGUGUUGAUGAAUCAGAAUAGAUAUUAUUAUCAUAAUGGCCUUUCAAUUCAGAAGAUCCCACAGUGAAUAAAUAAUUGUCAUUAUUUAUCUUA
This is a long non-coding RNA of Cyprinus carpio (common carp), 662 nucleotides long. RefSeq lists it as uncharacterized. The transcript has 2 exons. The record is from RefSeq and is a predicted model, not a curated record. Lineage: Eukaryota; Metazoa; Chordata; Actinopteri; Cypriniformes; Cyprinidae.